Molecule: ribosomal RNA, 492 nt
Filed under: uncultured bacterium
Lineage: Bacteria
Description: partial 16S ribosomal RNA
Rfam family: Bacterial small subunit ribosomal RNA
Source: RNAcentral
AGUGAACGCUGGCGGUAGGCCUAACACAUGCAAGUCGAACGGCAGCACAGUAAGAGCUUGCUCUUACGGGUGGCGAGUGGCGGACGGGUGAGGAAUACAUCGGAAUCUACUUUUUCGUGGGGGAUAACGUAGGGAAACUUACGCUAAUACCGCAUACGACCUACGGGUGAAAGCAGGGGAUCUUCGGACCUUUCGCGAUUGAAUGAGCCGAUGUCGGAUUAGCUAGUUGGCUGGGUAAAGGCCCACCAAGGCGACGAUCCGUAGCUGGUCUGAGAGGAUGAUCAGCCACACUGGAACUGAGACACGGUCCAGACUCCUACGGGAGGCAGCAGUAGGGAAUAUUGGACAAUGGGCGCAAGCCUGAUCCAGCCAUACCGCGUGGGUGAAGAAGGCCUUCGGGUUGUAAAGCCCUUUUGUUGGGAAAGAAAAGCAGCAGGUUAAUACCCCGCUGUUCUGACGGUACCCAAAGAAUAAGCACCGGCUAACUUCGUG